UUGCUUUAUCAGCACAUACACUAAAAUUGGCACAAUACAGAGAAGAUUAGCAUGGCCCCUGUACUAUUAUGGUACGUAAAUUUGAAAAAUGUUCCAUAUUUUU
Cynocephalus volans (Philippine flying lemur) is the source of this 103-nucleotide small nuclear RNA. The record is from RefSeq and is a predicted model, not a curated record. NCBI's taxonomy places the organism in Eukaryota, Metazoa, Chordata, Mammalia, Dermoptera, Cynocephalidae.